GCCACCGUAGCUCAGUGGUAGAGCAGUGCUUUUGUAAAGCACGGGUCGUGGGUUCAAGUCCCUCCGGUGGCU
Molecule: transfer RNA, 72 nt
Filed under: Phycisphaerales bacterium
Lineage: Bacteria; Pseudomonadati; Planctomycetota; Phycisphaerae; Phycisphaerales
Description: tRNA-Thr
Rfam family: tRNA
About the family: Transfer RNA (tRNA) molecules are approximately 80 nucleotides in length. Their secondary structure includes four short double-helical elements and three loops (D, anti-codon, and T loops). Further hydrogen bonds mediate the characteristic L-shaped molecular structure. tRNAs have two regions of fundamental functional importance: the anti-codon, which is responsible for specific mRNA codon recognition, and the 3' end, to which the tRNAs corresponding amino acid is attached (by aminoacyl-tRNA synthetases). tRNAs cope with the degeneracy of the genetic code in two manners: having more than one tRNA (with a specific anti-codon) for a particular amino acid; and 'wobble' base-pairing, i.e. permitting non-standard base-pairing at the 3rd anti-codon position.
Source: RNAcentral